This 937-nucleotide unclassified non-coding RNA is filed under the name Onthophagus taurus. RNAcentral's name for it is "uncharacterized LOC111421277, transcript variant X2". The record is from RNAcentral. Lineage: Eukaryota; Metazoa; Arthropoda; Insecta; Coleoptera; Scarabaeidae.
ACUCAUCUUUAUCUCAAGGUUCGACAACGCGUGUUUAUUUUUUGAUGGAGAGGUUAAGCAAGAAAGUAAACAUUCGAUUUGAUUACAGCCAGUUUAUAAGAUACUUUUCAUACGAUUACAAUGUAUAAAUCGGGUUUUAAGAUAGUUAUAACGAUUUGUUUUGUUUUGUUUGUUACCGCUGUGUUUGGUGAUGAUGAACUGGCUUUUAAUAAUCCUUACAUCGGCGAUGUAAAACCAAUAAAAUUACCAAAAAAGUCUUCUUCUGGCCAAUUCAUUCCGCUUCCUCCACUUCCAGAUAACGCAAUUGAAAGAAAACUUCUUAUGGACGUAAAUGAUCAAUCUUUACAAUACAUUCGAUUUAGGAGGUCAAAAUUUUCUGGGAAUAUGGAAAACGAAAAUGGAAACAGAGUUUAUUCUGAUAAUACCUGGAAAAAAGUUUUACGGCCUAAUUUGUAUUAAUAAUAAAAUUUUUUCAAUAAAAUGUCUAAAUUAUGUUUUUUAUGUGAUCGUUUGAUUUUAGGAGUAACUCAUAAGAACGAACUUUUGAAAAGGGGGGAUGUAUACCCGGAGACAAUUUCGUGUAAUUUAUAACUGCACCAGAUGUAUUUUAAAUUGCCACCGUGACGGUAUAGAAUUUAUGUAUGAACGUGGAGCGAUUGGGGGAUUCCUACGGCGGUGGCAUGUAUUUUCGUCGGUUAUGCGUUUUAUGAACGUAAUAUUUUAGAGGGCGCGCUUUAUGUUUGGAUCAGCAUCUUUAUGAUCUGGAUUCUUUGGCUUUAUCGUCCAAUAUCUGACCGCAAACAUUCUUUACGAAGUAAAUAUGACCCGGUGGUUAUUCGAAAUGCAUAACGUACUUUCAAACAAACACAUCGAUCAAAUAAGAUUAUAAGUUAUAUAUUAUAUAUUUUUAUGAAUACUUAUUAAACGACUCUAAAUA